This 460-nucleotide ribosomal RNA is filed under the name uncultured bacterium. RNAcentral's name for it is "partial 16S ribosomal RNA". It matches the Rfam family "Bacterial small subunit ribosomal RNA", at positions 338 to 795 of the family's 1533-position model. The record is from RNAcentral.
CCUACGGGAGGCAGCAGUGAGGAAUAUUGGUCAAUGGCCGUAAGGCUGAACCAGCCAAGUCGCGUGAAGGAAGAAGGAUCUAUGGUUUGUAAACUUCUUUUAUAGGGGAAUAAAGGUAUCCACGUGUGGAUCUUUGCAUGUACCCUAUGAAUAAGCAUCGGCUAACUCCGUGCCAGCAGCCGCGGUAAUACGGAGGAUGUGAGCGUUAUCCGGAUUUAUUGGGUUUAAAGGGUGCGUAGGUUGUUUUUUAAGUCAGCGGUGAAAGUUUGUGGCUCAACCAUAAAAUUGCCGUUGAAACUGGAAGACUUGAGUGUGUUUGAGGUAGGCGGAAUGCGUGGUGUAGCGGUGAAAUGCAUAGAUAUCACGCAGAACUCCGAUGGCGAAGGCAGCUUACUAAGCCAUAACUGACACUGAAGCACGAAAGCGUGGGGAUCAAACAGGAUUAGAUACCCUGGUAGUC